RNAcentral lists this ribosomal RNA (406 nucleotides) under uncultured bacterium. RNAcentral describes it as "partial 16S ribosomal RNA". It matches the Rfam family "Bacterial small subunit ribosomal RNA", at positions 28 to 526 of the family's 1533-position model. The record is from RNAcentral.
GAUGAACGCUAGCUACAGGCUUAACACAUGCAAGUCGAGGGACCGGCGCACGGGUGAGUAACACGUAUCCAACCUGCCCUUUACUCGGGGAUAGCCUUUCGAAAGACAGAUUACUACCCGAUAUCACGGAUGGGGAUGCGUUCCAUUAGGUUUUUGGUGAGGGAACUGCUCACCAAGACUUCUCUGGAUAGGGGUUCUGAGAGUAAGGUCCCCCACAUUGGAACUGAGACUCGGUCCAAACUCCUACGGGAGGCAGCAGUGAGUAAUAUUGGUCAAUGUGCGCUAGCCUGAACCAGCCAAGUAGCGUGAAGGAUGAAGGCUUAUGGGUCUUAAACUUCUUUUAUAUAGGAAUAUGUAUUAUAUGAAUAAGGAUCGGCUAACUCCGUGCCAGCAGCCGCGGUAAUUC